This 240-nucleotide ribosomal RNA is filed under the name uncultured bacterium. RNAcentral describes it as "partial 16S ribosomal RNA". It matches the Rfam family "Bacterial small subunit ribosomal RNA", at positions 96 to 334 of the family's 1533-position model. The record is from RNAcentral.
UGGCGAACGGGUGAGUAACGCGUGGGGAACCUGCCUCAAAGAGGGGGACAACAGUUGGAAACGACUGCUAAUACCGCAUAAGCCCACGACCCGGCAUCGGGAAGAGGGAAAAGGAGCAAUCCGCUUUGAGAUGGCCUCGCGUCCGAUUAGCUAGUUGGUGAGGUAACGGCCCACCAAGGCAACGAUCGGUAGCCGGACUGAGAGGUUGAACGGCCACAUUGGGACUGAGACACGGCCCAG